RNAcentral lists this non-coding RNA (83 nucleotides) under unclassified sequences. RNAcentral's name for it is "Proteo-phage-1 RNA". It matches the Rfam family "Proteo-phage-1 RNA". The record is from Rfam by way of RNAcentral.
UCGCAGCCUAAGCGACCCGCGAGGGGCGAUUAGGACAGGGGUUGGUCGGUGAGUACCCUGAUUCGGAAAUAACCCCGACAGCU